CAUAAAACGGCUGGAAUCAUAUUCUAACUCAUUCCUAUCAACAUUCCUCUCAAUUUUAAUCCUUGGCUGAUUUGGGUUGAUUGAUUUCUGGGUUUUAUUGUUCUUAGUCUAAUCAAGAGACCCGUCGACUGCUCGUGCUUCGGAGUCUACGCAGGGUUAGCUGUUUGCCAAGAUUUACGUGGAUAAGCAAGCAGUUUAUGAUUUGAAAGCUGGUCCACUCCGAUUCUUUUGAUUCUUCGGAGGUUUUUAUGUUAUUUAACUAGUUACUGUUUUCGAACUC
Long non-coding RNA from Mercurialis annua (annual mercury), 280 nucleotides. RefSeq lists it as uncharacterized. NCBI's taxonomy places the organism in Eukaryota, Viridiplantae, Streptophyta, Magnoliopsida, Malpighiales, Euphorbiaceae. The record is from RefSeq and is a predicted model, not a curated record. The transcript is spliced from 4 exons.